Molecule: ribosomal RNA, 468 nt
Filed under: uncultured bacterium
Lineage: Bacteria
Description: partial 16S ribosomal RNA
Rfam family: Bacterial small subunit ribosomal RNA
Source: RNAcentral
GACGAACGCUGGCGGCGUGCUUAACACAUGCAAGUCGAACGGAAAGGCCCUGCUUUUGUGGGGUGCUCGAGUGGCGAACGGGUGAGUAACACGUGAGUAACCUGCCCUUGACUUUGGGAUAACUUCAGGAAACUGGGGCUAAUACCGGAUAGGAGCUCCUGCUGCAUGGUGGGGGUUGGAAAGUUUCGGCGGUUGGGGAUGGACUCGCGGCUUAUCAGCUUGUUGGUGGGGUAGUGGCUUACCAAGGCUUCGACGGGUAGCCGGCCUGAGAGGGUGACCGGCCACAUUGGGACUGAGAUACGGCCCAGACUCCUACGGGAGGCAGCAGUGGGGAAUAUUGCACAAUGGGCGGAAGCCUGAUGCAGCAACGCCGCGUGCGGGAUGACGGCCUUCGGGUUGUAAACCGCUUUCGCCUGUGACGAAGCGUGAGUGACGGUAAUGGGUGAAGAAGCACCGGCUAACUACGUG